This 351-nucleotide unclassified non-coding RNA is filed under the name soil metagenome. Its description in RNAcentral is "partial contains 5.8S ribosomal RNA, internal transcribed spacer 2, and large subunit ribosomal RNA". The stretch from base 1 to 120 matches the Rfam family "5.8S ribosomal RNA", at positions 35 to 154 of the family's 154-position model. The record is from RNAcentral.
GAUGAAGAACGUAGCGAAAUGCGAUAAGUAAUGUGAAUUGCAGAAUUCAGUGAAUCAUCGAAUCUUUGAACGCACAUUGCGCCCGCCAGUAUUCUGGCGGGCAUGCCUGUCUGAGCGUCAUUUCAACCCUCAUGCCCCUAGGGCGUGGUGUUGGGGAUCGGCCAAAGCCCGCGAGGGACGGCCGGCCCCUAAAUCUAGUGGCGGACCCGUCGCAGCUUCCAUCGCGUAGUAGCUAACACCUCGCGACUGGAGAGCGGCGCGGCCACGCCGUAAAACACCCAACUCUUCUGAAGUUGACCUCGAAUCAGGUAGGAAUACCCGCUGAACUUAAGCAUAUCAAUAAGCGGAGGA